Apis cerana (Asiatic honeybee) is the source of this 1809-nucleotide long non-coding RNA. RefSeq lists it as uncharacterized. NCBI's taxonomy places the organism in Eukaryota, Metazoa, Arthropoda, Insecta, Hymenoptera, Apidae. The record is from RefSeq and is a predicted model, not a curated record.
AGAAGGGAAAAGGAGAAUGGGCGUGAAUGGAGCACGCCGGUGGAAGUUUCGUGCGCGCGUCAAGUGCAGGCAGGCCCAGCCUGCUGGUUGCUCCCGGUGCAACGACCUUGAGAAUUCGGCCUCGGGUGUGAACGUUUCGAAGCCGGCUUCCUGCGGGCGUGCACACGUUCCUUCGAGCGGGGCACACGCGCGCGCGCGCGCGAUUUCAUGAAAACGAUCGUUAGCGCGGCAACGGCGCGUAACGAUGACGUCAGAAGCGACGUGAACAGUCGCGGCCUGCGCUCGACAAACCUGAAAGGUAUUAUUUUUCACGCCACUUCCCACACACGCGCGCACGCAUACAACACCGGUUGAUCGCAUACACCGGGGCGAUCUCUGGCCCCGGAUGAACUUGGAGGGGAGCAGCGGUUUUAUCGGUUCGCGUUGAAAGAAGAAUCGGGUCCAGUGUUCGUUAUCGUCCGGUUACGGAGAAGGAGCUUGGACACCUCGCAGUCUCAGUGUAUCGAAAGAACGCGAAGCGGUUGUUCGCCACUGCACACAAUCAGGAGACGAUUAAUUGGCUGGCGCGCAAGGAGCAUUCCAAGAGGUCCAUUAAAAAUCGUUGCCUGACGCGAAUCGAAGCAACGAUACCGGGUCUAUAAGUGCAUUGCCGCCACAGCAGUGGACAAAAGUGAAGAAGAGAGGGAUAAGGAUAAGAGGAAGAAAAGGAAGAAGAGAAAAAGGCACAACUCGCAUAACGAAGCGAAGUUUAAAUCUAAAAUUAAGUCGGUGCUCCUGACCUGGGUUCCGAUCGCGUAUAACUCAGUGUCAAAAUGCGAGUCAAAUUUCGAACGCGUGCCCACGGAAUGCUUUCCGUGGCGCCACUCUAACGGCCGUCCACGUUUCCUCUCGACGAACCGGUCGUGCCACGAUGCCAUUGGUCAUUUCCUUACACUUGCACUUGAUCAGGUCCUUUUGCUUCCUGUUUCAUCUUAUUUGUUCGUUUUAGAUUUUCUCGCAUAUAUAUAUAUAAAAGAGAAAAAGAAAAUAAUACAAAACAUUCGAGGAUAUAAUUGAUCGAGCGAUUAAAUAGAGUUUCGACGUAAUUAUAUUUCCCUCUCAGUCAGUAUUUUUUUUUUUUUUUGUUUAAAUUUAGUGUCAAUACAAGGGUAUAAAUAUUAACGGUGCACAAAUAAUGCGUAAAAACUUUGUAACGAUGGAAUGGCAAUUACAUAAACUUGAUGGGAUACGAGUAGUUUCGUGUACAAUUUUUCGUUAAGUAGUUAAUGGGUGUUCAGUUUCAUGUACGUAAGCGGCUUCCACAUUUGCCCAUAAAUACAGUGGAAUCUCGAUUAAACUGGUUAAUCGAGACCUAAAAGAUAAUUAGACUCGGAGAGAAAUUAUUGAAAUUGUAUUUUUAUAUGUGAAGAUACAUUUUUACCUCUUUUUUGUAAUAUGUAUAAUUACUGGCCAGACAUUUCCACUUAUUCAUUAUCCUAUCGAUUUAUGAAUCAAGAUCGUAAGAAAGAAAUUCGAUGAGUCUGUUAUUAAGAUUUUCAAUCACAAGUGAAUUAUUUGUAUCCGUGUUUCGAGAGAUAUUUCCACGUCGAAGGAACAAUUAAUUUUUUUUCUUUCUUAAGAAAUUUAUACCUCAUAAUAUUUAAAUUUUAAAUUUAAAGAUAUCUCGAAAUUGAAGAAAAGGUGACUUAAUAGCCAAUUUAAUCGAGAUAUAAUUUAUCCUAUAAAAAUUAUAAUAUCUUAUCAAAAUUUUUUCACUUUAUAUCGUAAUGAUAUUGCACAUAAAUAAAUUUUAUCGAAGAAUUGUAACCU